AAGUGCUAGCGUUAUUCACAUAAUUGGGUGUAAGGGUUCGUAUACGGUAAUUUAAAUUAAAAAGUAAAAUUUUAAAAUUCCAUUUUAAAAAAUUUUUUAAAACUAUUUUACUUGGGUUUUAUUCAAAAAAGCAGAAUGGUGUAAGUAAAAGUCAAAUUUUUUAGAUAUGCACAGGAAUACCAAUUGCGAAGGCAGCUUUUUAGAAAAGACUGACGUACCGGAACGAAGGUUUGGGUAGCAAACAGAAUUAGAUACUCUGGUAGUCCAAAAAACAGUAAAUACUGAGUGUUAAAAUUUAACUUUGUGUUAGAUUAUGUAGCUAACGCUAAAUAACACUUCACCUGAAAACUAUUAACGCAAGUUUAAAAUUCAAAGAAAUUGACGGGAGCUAAUACUAGUGGUGGAGCAUGUGGUUUAAUUCGAUAUUCCACGCAAAAUCUUACCAAUUCUUGACACGAAGAAAGGGCCUUCAACAAGCACUUUUGACAGGUGUUGCACGGCUGUUGUAAGUUUGUGCUGUGAGGUGUUUGAUUAAUUUCUUUAACAGACGGAACUUUUAUUUUUAAGUUUAUACUUUUAUUUACUACAAAAAACUGUCACCUGUUUUUGUUUAAUAACUUUAAAAAAACCGAUAAUGAUAAAUUAAAGGAAGGAAAAAACUAAUUCAAGUCAUUGUGACCCUAAUGAAUUGGGCUACACACGUGCUACAAUGGAAACUACAAUAAGUUAUGCAAAUUAAACAUUCUAAUUAAUCUAUCUAAAAGUUUCCCUAGUUCAAGUUGUAAACUGAAACUCGUUUACAUAAAGCUGGAAUCACUAGUAAUCGCAAAUCAGAACUGUUGCGGUGAAUACGUUAAUUGGCUUUGUACAUACCGCCCGUCACAUGCAAAAAGUUAACUUUUUUUGAAGGUUUUUCAAAAAAUCAAUCUAAAAGAUAAC
RNAcentral lists this ribosomal RNA (939 nucleotides) under uncultured bacterium. RNAcentral describes it as "partial 16S rRNA". It matches the Rfam family "Bacterial small subunit ribosomal RNA", at positions 530 to 1468 of the family's 1533-position model. The record is from RNAcentral.